UCUGCUAGGGGUGCCUAAAGGCUGAGAAAUGUAUAUCGUUAACCCUUGUACCUGAUCUGGUUAAUACCAGCGUAGGAAAGCAAUUAUAAU
Molecule: non-coding RNA, 90 nt
Filed under: uncultured Clostridium sp.
Lineage: Bacteria; Bacillati; Bacillota; Clostridia; Eubacteriales; Clostridiaceae
Description: TPP riboswitch (THI element)
Rfam family: TPP riboswitch aptamer (THI element)
About the family: Vitamin B(1) in its active form thiamin pyrophosphate (TPP) is an essential coenzyme that is synthesised by coupling of pyrimidine and thiazole moieties in bacteria. The previously detected thiamin-regulatory element, thi box was extended, resulting in a new, highly conserved RNA secondary structure, the THI element, which is widely distributed in eubacteria and also occurs in some archaea. Analysis of operon structures identified a large number of new candidate thiamin-regulated genes, mostly transporters, in various prokaryotic organisms.
Source: RNAcentral